This is an unclassified non-coding RNA of Erinaceus europaeus (western European hedgehog), 301 nucleotides long. Its record names the gene 7SK. It matches the Rfam family "7SK RNA". Rfam says of the family: 7SK was discovered as an abundant small nuclear RNA in the mid-70s but a possible function has only recently been suggested. Two independent studies have found that 7SK RNA binds the CDK9/cyclin T complex (known as elongation factor P-TEFb). P-TEFb activates transcription by phosphorylating the C-terminal domain of RNA polymerase II. The record is from Ensembl. Lineage: Eukaryota; Metazoa; Chordata; Mammalia; Eulipotyphla; Erinaceidae.
GGAUGUGAGGGCCAUGUAGCUGUGUUAUCUAUCACUCCAUUGACUGCCAAGGUUAAUAAGGAUGAUCUGGUUGGCAAGGUGGGUGUCCCCUUCCUCCCUCACUGCUCCAUGUGUGUCCCUCCCAAAGCUGUGUGCUCAGUCAAAGAAGACAGCUUUUCCUGAAUAGAGACAGACCAUUCUUCAGUGGAGGGUAUACAAACAGCUGCAUUUCCCUGCUAGAACCUCCAAACUCUGAUGAGGCAGAGAGAACAUGGUGUUUUUAUAUAAAAUUGUAUUGCUGGUUUACAGUGGGAUUUUGAUG